RNAcentral lists this ribosomal RNA (506 nucleotides) under uncultured bacterium. RNAcentral's name for it is "bacterial SSU rRNA". It matches the Rfam family "Bacterial small subunit ribosomal RNA", at positions 107 to 607 of the family's 1533-position model. The record is from RNAcentral.
UGAGUAAUGUCUGGGAAACUGCCUGAUGGAGGGGGAUAACUACUGGAAACGGUAGCUAAUACCGCAUAACGUCGCAAGACCAAAGAGGGGGACCUUCGGGCCUCUUGCCAUCAGAUGUGCCCCAGAUGGGAUUAGCUAGUAGGUGGGGUAAUGGCUCACCUAGGCGACGAUCCCUAGCUGGUCUGAAAGGGAUGACCAGCCACACUGGAACUGAGACACGGUCCAGACUCCUACGGGAGGCAGCAGUGGGGAAUAUUGCACAAUGGGCGCAAGCCUGAUGCAGCCAUGCCGCGUGUGUGAAGAAGGCCUUCGGGUUGUAAAGCACUUUCAGCGAGGAGGAAGGUGGUGAGCUUAAUACGCUCAUCAAUUGACGUUACUCGCAGAAGAAGCACCGGCUAACUCCGUGCCAGCAGCCGCGGUAAUACGGAGGGUGCAAGCGUUAAUCGGAAUUACUGGGCGUAAAGCGCACGCAGGCGGUUUGUUAAGUCAGAUGUGAAAUCCCCGGG